GACGAACGCUGGCGGCGUGCUUAACACAUGCAAGUCUUGGGGGUCUCGCAAGAGAUCACCGGCGAACGGGUGCGUAACACGUAAGCGACCUACCGCAGUGUGGGGGAUAGCCGGCCCAACGGCCGGGUAAUACCGCAUACGCUCACUGGAGUGAGUGCUUUGGUGAGGAAACCCUUCGGGGGCUCUGCGCGGGGCUUGCGGCCUAUCAGCUAGUUGGCGGGGUAACGGCCCACCAAGGCGACGACGGGUAGCUGGUCUGAGAGGAUGGCCAGCCACAUUGGGACUGAGAGACGGCCCAGACUCCUACGGGAGGGCAGCAGUGGGGAAUCUUGCGCAAUGGGCGAAAGCCUGACGCAGCGACGCCGCGUGUGGGAGGAAGCUCUUCGGGGUGUAAACCACUGUGCCCGGGACGAACAACGAGUUUCGACUCGUCUGACGGUACCGGGUGAGGAAGCACCGGCUAACUCUGUGCCAGCAGCCGCGGU
Molecule: ribosomal RNA, 485 nt
Filed under: uncultured bacterium
Lineage: Bacteria
Description: bacterial SSU rRNA
Rfam family: Bacterial small subunit ribosomal RNA
Source: RNAcentral